RNAcentral lists this ribosomal RNA (977 nucleotides) under human gut metagenome. RNAcentral describes it as "bacterial LSU rRNA". It matches the Rfam family "Bacterial large subunit ribosomal RNA", at positions 1945 to 2925 of the family's 2925-position model. The record is from RNAcentral.
ACGGUCCUAAGGUAGCGAAAUUCCUUGUCGGGUAAGUUCCGACCCGCACGAAAGGUGUAACGAUUUGGGCACUGUCUCAACGAGGGACCCGGUGAAAUUGAAAUACCUGUGAAGAUGCAGGUUACCCGCGACUGGACAGAAAGACCCCAUGGAGCUUCACUGCAGCUUGAGAUUGAAUCCCGGUGACAGAUGCACAGGAUAGGUGGGAGGCGCCGAAGCAUUGCCCUAGGGCGGUGCGGAGCCGAUGUUGGGAUACCACCCUUCUGUUGCUGAGAUUCUAACGCGAGGAGUAACGACCCUGCGGACCCUCUCAGGCAGGCGGUUUGACUGGGGCGGUCGCCUCCGAAAGAGUAACGGAGGCGCCCAAAGGUUCCCUCAGGCCGGACAGAAACCGGCCGAAGAGUGCAAAGGCAGAAGGGAGCUUGACUGCGAGACCAACAAGUCGAGCAGAGACGAAAGUCGGGCUUAGUGAUCCGGUGGUACUGAGUGGAAAGGCCAUCGCUCAACGGAUAAAAGCUACCCUGGGGAUAACAGGCUAAUCUCUCCCAAGAGUUCAUAUCGACGGGGAGGUUUGGCACCUCGAUGUCGGCUCAUCACAUCCUGGGGCUGAAGUAGGUCCCAAGGGUUGGGCUGUUCGCCCAUUAAAGUGGUACGCGAGCUGGGUUCAAAACGUCGUGAGACAGUUUGGUUCAUAUCCAUCGCGGGCGCAAGAAGUUUGAGAGGAGCUGCUCCUAGUACGAGAGGACCGGAGUGGACGGAUCAACGGUGUCCCAGUUGUCACGCCAGUGGCACGGCUGGAAAGCCGCAUCCGGGAAGGAUAAACGCUGAAAGCAUCUAAGCGCGAAGCCAACCUCAAGAUGAGACUUCUCAUCAGCAAUGAGUAAGACCCCUUACAGACGAUGAGGUAGAUAGGUUAUGAGUGGAAGAGCCGCAAGGCUUGGAGCGACAUAAAACUAAUAGGUCGAGGUCUUAACUUA